RNAcentral lists this transfer RNA (72 nucleotides) under Ictidomys tridecemlineatus (thirteen-lined ground squirrel). RNAcentral describes it as "Spermophilus tridecemlineatus (thirteen-lined ground squirrel) tRNA". It matches the Rfam family "tRNA". Rfam says of the family: Transfer RNA (tRNA) molecules are approximately 80 nucleotides in length. Their secondary structure includes four short double-helical elements and three loops (D, anti-codon, and T loops). Further hydrogen bonds mediate the characteristic L-shaped molecular structure. tRNAs have two regions of fundamental functional importance: the anti-codon, which is responsible for specific mRNA codon recognition, and the 3' end, to which the tRNAs corresponding amino acid is attached (by aminoacyl-tRNA synthetases). tRNAs cope with the degeneracy of the genetic code in two manners: having more than one tRNA (with a specific anti-codon) for a particular amino acid; and 'wobble' base-pairing, i.e. permitting non-standard base-pairing at the 3rd anti-codon position. The record is from Rfam by way of RNAcentral. Lineage: Eukaryota; Metazoa; Chordata; Mammalia; Rodentia; Sciuridae.
UGGGUUGUGGCUCAGAGGUAGAGUGCUUGUCUAGCAUGCAUGAGGCACUGGGUUUGAUCCUCAGCACCUCAU